GAUUGCAGGCUGCAACUCGCCUGCAUGAAGUCGGAAUUGCUAGUAAUCGUAGGUCAGCAUACUACGGUGAAUACGUUCCCGGGCCUUGUACACACCGCCCGUCACACCAUGGGAGUCGGGAAUGCCCGAAGCCGGUGGCCCAAUCGAAAGAAGGGAGCCGUCGAAGGCAGGCCGGAUGACUGGGGUGAAGUCGUAACAAGGUACC
RNAcentral lists this ribosomal RNA (205 nucleotides) under uncultured bacterium. Its description in RNAcentral is "partial 16S ribosomal RNA". It matches the Rfam family "Bacterial small subunit ribosomal RNA", at positions 1296 to 1500 of the family's 1533-position model. The record is from RNAcentral.